GACGAACGCUGGCGGCGUGCUUAACACAUGCAAGUCGAGCGGAAAGGCCACUUCGGUGGUACUCGAGCGGCGAACGGGUGAGUAACACGUGAGUAAUCUGCCCCUGGCUUUGGGAUAGCCACCGGAAACGGUGAUUAAUACCGGAUACGACCACUUCUCGCAUGGGAUGGUGGUGGAAAGUUUUUUCGGCCAGGGAUGUGCCCGCGGCCUAUCAGCUUGAUGGUGAGGUAAUGGCUCACCAUGGCUUCGACGGGUAGCCGGCCGGAGAGGGUGACCGGUCACACUGGGACUGAGACACGGCCCAGACUCCUACGGGAGGCAGCAGUGGGGAAUAUUGGACAAUGGGCGGAAGCCUGAUCCAGCAACGCCGCGUGAGGGAUGACGGCCUUCGGGUUGUAAACCUCUUUCAGCAGGGACGAAGCGCAAGUGACGGUACCUGCAGAAGAAGCACCGGCCAACUACGUGCCAGCCGCCGCGGUAA
RNAcentral lists this ribosomal RNA (481 nucleotides) under uncultured bacterium. Its description in RNAcentral is "partial 16S ribosomal RNA". It matches the Rfam family "Bacterial small subunit ribosomal RNA", at positions 28 to 523 of the family's 1533-position model. The record is from RNAcentral.